Oryza punctata is the source of this 165-nucleotide non-coding RNA. NCBI's taxonomy places the organism in Eukaryota, Viridiplantae, Streptophyta, Magnoliopsida, Poales, Poaceae. The record is from Rfam.
AAUAAGUGUAAUCUUGCACUAUUCAUAUCCAACGUUUGACCGUUUAUCUUAUUUGAAAAUUUUUUAUGAUUAGUAUUUUUGUGUGACCUUUUUAAUUAUUUUAUAAUUUUUUAAAUAAGACGAAUGGUCAAACGUUGAAUUUGAAAAUCCACGACUGCACUUAUU